GUUUUAUCGUCUUCUUGCAUCAUGAAGUAAUUAGAAAGACGAUAAUGCAAUUUCUUAAUCAAUAGCACGCUAGCUGUGACUGCUUCAAGCCACGUGAAACUGCAAAUGGAAAAUAUGCUGGUUGAUAACGCAGUUUAAUUACCGAGAGGAAGGAAAAGAAAAGAGACGCGAAUUUGCUGAGACAACAUAGCGGUAAUCAAGCCAUCAAAAAGAAGCCACUUGAAUUCUUGGCACCACAGUGGAAAGGACAGAUGUACUGCGUGAUGAACGCCGUAGACAGCUAACACAGAAAGUGAAGGCAUCACGAAGUGUAGUGCUACGUUAUUAAACUGUAAGUGAACCGCAAUGAGUCAACAGAGGCUCGAACAUUCUCCACUCUAGUUUAGUAAAAAUAAACACUCACUGUACUCAUGUAUUAGUUGUUAAGCUUAAGAGAAUGUAAAUUUUGAAUUCUAUCCCCUGAAGUGAGAAAUGAAUGUUCACUUAUUGUUAUAAGCACAUAUGGACCAAACUUAAAUAUGCACAUACAUGUGAAUCUUGGUAUUAAGGAAUGAAGUGACUGAUGAACAAUGAGUGAAAAACUUGGUUUUGAAAAAUGAUAAAUAUCUUAUAUAUGUUUAUAAAUGUAAUUUCAGUUAAUGUACUUAGUACGCCAGUAACAUUAUGUAAGUGUCAUACCAAAAAUCACGAAUAUCUC
Schistocerca cancellata (South American locust) is the source of this 697-nucleotide long non-coding RNA. RefSeq lists it as uncharacterized. The transcript has 3 exons. NCBI's taxonomy places the organism in Eukaryota, Metazoa, Arthropoda, Insecta, Orthoptera, Acrididae. The record is from RefSeq and is a predicted model, not a curated record.